CUACUAGCCCCCAUGGCAGGAAAAGAAUGCCACACUGUGCUGUAAUUUUCUAGUUCUUGUGUGCUGUGAUACAGGGGAUAUUUGUAUAUAAAAUCACUUGUUAGUGUUUCUUUUUUCCCCCUGUAUAUUCUCAUAAUGUAAACCUUCUGUAAAAUGAGCCUUAAACGCCUAGCCAAGGCAUACCCAAAGUAAAAUUAAAGCCGUUCUUGAACCAUUUCGAGUAGAUGCAUGGUUUUGGUCUCUUAUUGAAAGCUGGAUUAAAUAUUUUUACAUAAUUGGAUUGUUUGGACGUUUGCUAGUGUAACAAGACUGUUUUUGUCAGGAUGUUAUGGAUCAGUGGAUUACUAUGAGGCUUCAUAUGAGGUUGGAAAGAAGCAGGAACGAAAGUGUCGAGUUGAAGGUGGUCAUCAUGGAUUCACUGAGUAUAACCCCUAUCCCCAGCAAACCGAAGUGCUGACUGAUCUCAG
Molecule: long non-coding RNA, 467 nt
Organism: Ictalurus punctatus (channel catfish)
Lineage: Eukaryota; Metazoa; Chordata; Actinopteri; Siluriformes; Ictaluridae
Source: Ensembl